This 377-nucleotide ribosomal RNA is filed under the name uncultured eukaryote. RNAcentral describes it as "partial 18S ribosomal RNA". It matches the Rfam family "Eukaryotic small subunit ribosomal RNA", at positions 592 to 976 of the family's 1831-position model. The record is from RNAcentral.
CAAUAGCGUAUAUUUAAGUUGCUGCAGUUAAAAAGCUCGUAGUUGGAUUUCGGGUGGGAAUGGCCGGUCCGCCGUUUCGGUGUGCACUUGCUACGCCCACCUUGCUGCCGGGGACGUGCUCUUGAGUUCACGCUCGGGACACGGAGUCGGCGAGGUUACUUUGAGUAAAUUAGAGUGUUCAAAGCAGGCCUACGCUCUGAAUACAUUAGCAUGGAAUAACACGAUAGGACUCUGGCCUAUCUUGUUGGUCUGUAGGACCGGAGUAAUGAUUAAGAGGGACAGUCGGGGGCAUUCGUAUUUCAUUGUCAGAGGUGAAAUUCUUGGAUCUAUGAAAGACGAACUACUGCGAAAGCAUUUGCCAAGGAUGUUUUCAUUAA